CCUCUACCCCGAGCUGCGGAGCGGGGCGCAGCUCUGACGUCAACACUGCCGCGGCCCCUGCCUGCCUCAGGCGCCUCACAUCUGUCCCUUGAGCGGCAGGAAUCCGUCCCCACGCCCUUCUCCUUUAAAGGACAACAGGCAGAGGGUGGGGCGGGCGGCGAGGCCCCAGCGAUCCAUUCAGGUCAAAAAGGAGAGUGAUCAAACAGGACGCUGAGAUAAAUUGGGUCAUGCAGGCUUGGACAAGGAAGAUUCCAUCUGAUUUCACACAUCCUUGAAAUACAGCGUCCUUGCACCAUCUGAGGUGGUCCAGGAAGGCCUGAGUGAGGAGGUGGCCUGUGAGCUGAAACCUGAAACAGGAGACUGAGUCAGCUAUGAGAAGAGUCACUGUGGAAAGAACAUUCCAGAAGGACAGAGUCAUGAAAGUAAAGCCCCCGAGAUAUGGUGUCAGAAGUGGGAUCUGAAGUAGUGCUUGCAGUGGUCCCCAGGAGCAUCAAGUGACCAAGCCAGGUAUUAACUCAGAUGAAUCAUAGACCUACGUAUAAAUGUGAAUCUGCAGCACUCCUAGAAGAUAAUGGAGAGAAAAAUCUAGACAACCUUGGGGCUGGCAGUGACUUUAGAAAAUACAUCAAAAACAUGAUCCAUGAAAGAUAAAAUUAAGAAGUUGGGCAUCAUUAAAAUUUUGUUCUGUAAAAUAUAUUGUUAAGAGAAAGAAAAGAUAA
Molecule: long non-coding RNA, 719 nt
Organism: Tupaia belangeri chinensis (Chinese tree shrew)
Lineage: Eukaryota; Metazoa; Chordata; Mammalia; Scandentia; Tupaiidae
Exons: 5
Source: RefSeq, a predicted model, not a curated record